GACUCUCUUUUCAAAAGUCGUAGAGAAGUCUCUCUUCUCGUCUCUCGACCUCACGCAAACCAUAUGAAUAACUUAUAACUUCCAAAAUAGAAAUGGUAGAUAAUAAACGGCGGC
Molecule: small RNA, 114 nt
Filed under: Arabidopsis thaliana (thale cress)
Lineage: Eukaryota; Viridiplantae; Streptophyta; Magnoliopsida; Brassicales; Brassicaceae
Description: ATSL061900
Source: RNAcentral